UGGGGAAUUUUGGACAAUGGGCGAAAGCCUGAUCCAGCAAUGCCGCGUGUGUGAAGAAGGCCUUCGGGUUGUAAAGCACUUUUUGUCCGGAAAGAAAUCCUUGGCUCUAAUACAGUCGGGGGAUGACGGUACCGGAAGAAUAAGCACCGGCUAACUACGUGCCAGCAGCCGCGGUAAUACGUAGGGUGCAAGCGUUAAUCGGAAUUACUGGGCGUAAAGCGUGCGCGGGCGGUUUGCUAAGACCGAUGUGAAAUCCCCGGGCUCAACCUGGGAACUGCAUUGGUGACUGGCAGGCUAGAGUAUGGCAGAGGGGGGUAGAAUUCCACGUGUAGCAGUGAAAUGCGUAGAGAUGUGGAGGAAUACCGAUGGCGAAGGCAGCCCCCUGGGCCAAUACUGACGCUCAUGCACGAAAGCGUGGGGAGCAAACAGGAUUAGAUACCCUGGUAGUCCACGCCCUAAACGAUGUCAACUAGUUGUUGGGGAUUCAUUUCCUUAGUAACGUAGCUAACGCGUGAAGUUGACCGCCUGGGGAGUACGUCGCAAGAUUAAAACUCAAAUGAAUUGACGGGGUC
Molecule: ribosomal RNA, 572 nt
Filed under: uncultured bacterium
Lineage: Bacteria
Description: partial 16S ribosomal RNA
Rfam family: Bacterial small subunit ribosomal RNA
Source: RNAcentral